AUGCACGCUGGCGGCGUGCCUAAUACCUGCCAGUCGAGCGAACAGACGAGGAGCUUGCUCCUCUGACGUUAGCGGCGGACGGGUGAGUAACACGUGGAUAACCUACCUGUAAGACUGGGAUAACUUCGGGAAACCGGAGCUAAUACCGGAUAAUAUAUUGAACCGCAUGGUUCAAUAGUGAAAGACGGUUUUGCUGUCACUUAUAGAUGGAUCCGCGCCGCAUUAGCUAGUUGGUAAGGUAACGGCUUACCAAGGCAACGAUGCGUAGCCGACCUGAGAGGGUGAUCGGCCACACUGGAACUGAGACACGGUCCAGACUCCUACGGGAGGCAGCAGUAGGGAAUCUUCCGCAAUGGGCGAAAGCCUGACGGAGCAACGCCGCGUGAGUGAUGAAGGUCUUCGGAUCGUAAAACUCUGUUAUUAGGGAAGAACAAAUGUGUAAGUAACUAUGCACGUCUUGACGGUACCUAAUCAGAAAGCCACGGCUAACUACGUG
This 496-nucleotide ribosomal RNA is filed under the name uncultured bacterium. Its description in RNAcentral is "partial 16S ribosomal RNA". It matches the Rfam family "Bacterial small subunit ribosomal RNA", at positions 29 to 507 of the family's 1533-position model. The record is from RNAcentral.